CAGAGUGGAGUGGCCGGUAAAGUGGAGCAGUUUGUGGAGAAGUGAAAGUGAAAGCUUCAGAGACUUGGUGAGGAGAAGGGAAGGCACUGGCUCAGUUGCCAUCUGACCGAAGAGCAGCAAGGAUGUCUAUCCUCUUCCAGGUGUUUGUAGAAGGGGUGGAGGGCAGAAGAAACAUCAUAGACGUGGCAAAUAAAGAGCAGGAAUUCAACAAUAUGACCACUGACAAAUUCAUGGAGAUGGUGGCCACCAAACUCCUGAAGAAGCCAGGUUACCUACAAUUUAGUUUGCUGUAUGCUAACCAACAAAUGGAAAGAGGGAAAAAAUUCUCAGAUUAUUUUAUCAGAAACAAGUCUACUUUCGUCAUAGUUAUACAGCUGCCUGGAGGAGGGGGUGACGUUGACUUAAUGAAGGACUCAGUUUUCACAUAGGAAAUAAUGUGCAUCGGGGCCUACCCUAAACUGUGGUGGGUUCCUGCAUAGGCAUGGAUUUGGUUAUCAUGUGCCUGGAAAGAAACCAGAGAGGGGAGUGCUGCUGAGCCUCAAAGGUCACUGUCACACCCAGAGCUCAGCACACCAGUGGGGGAACAUGGCCAUCACUGCCAGUCCGCCAAGCCACCAGGUUGCCAGUCCAGAACAUCUGCCCGUGACAGACCAGCUGUCUUGUGUCCUGAAAACACCAACAAAAAGCUGUAUUUCUCCCACCUUAUCUGUUCUCUUCCUCCACUUCCCUUUGCAUCCGUUUAGUUAAAAGCAGGAAAAGUAACAACAAAACUCACAGCUCUCAGCGAAAGAACGAACCGUCUUCCCCACUAAGAAAUGAGCCAGAAUGAGACUCUCACCAAUAUCCUCUCUGGAAAAAGGAACUUUUAAGUUUUGCUUAUGAUUGUUUUGCUUAACACUCGCUUUCAAAAUGCUUUGUCUGCUUUUGAAUUCUUUUCUUGUGUAUCCUGAUUAAUAAAUUUCCAAGUUGCAAUGUGAGGAUUCUA
Gopherus evgoodei (Goodes thornscrub tortoise) is the source of this 985-nucleotide long non-coding RNA. RefSeq lists it as uncharacterized. Lineage: Eukaryota; Metazoa; Chordata; Testudines; Testudinidae. The record is from RefSeq and is a predicted model, not a curated record. The transcript has 3 exons.